This 253-nucleotide ribosomal RNA is filed under the name uncultured bacterium. RNAcentral describes it as "partial 16S ribosomal RNA". It matches the Rfam family "Bacterial small subunit ribosomal RNA", at positions 524 to 776 of the family's 1533-position model. The record is from RNAcentral.
UACGUAGGGACCGAGCGUUGUCCGGAUUCAUUGGGCGUAAAGAGCUCGUAGGCGGCUGUUCAAGUCGAACGUGAAAACUCGGAGCUCAACUCCGAGCCUGCGUUCGAUACUGGACGGCUAGAGUCUGGUAGGGGGAUCUGGAAUUCCUGGUGUAGCGGUGGAAUGCGCAGAUAUCAGGAGGAACACCGGUGGCGAAGGCAGCUCUCUGGGACGGUACUGACGCUGAGACGCGAAAGCGUGGGGAGCGAACAGG